AAAGGAGUCGAGGUUGAGGACAAUAUUGGCCAAGAUAAUGUUGUUGAUUAUGGAAUGUGUCUUGUGCAUUACUUUAUCACAGACUGUGUCAUUAAUUUUAAUGCUAUGAAGCACACCAUGGCCGCAUUGUGGCACCUUGGUAAAGGAAUUUGCAUCAAGGAGUUGGGGUCAUCUCUAUUUAUGUUUCAGUUUUUUCAUGAGGUUGAUGUUAGUCGAGUCG
This 220-nucleotide unclassified non-coding RNA is filed under the name Hevea brasiliensis (rubber tree). Lineage: Eukaryota; Viridiplantae; Streptophyta; Magnoliopsida; Malpighiales; Euphorbiaceae. The record is from RNAcentral.